UACGUAGGUGGCAAGCGUUGUCCGGAUUUACUGGGCGUAAAGAGCGCGCAGGCGGUCAGAUAAGUCGAAUGUGAAAGCCCCCGGCUCAACUGGGGAGGGUCAUUCGAUACUGUUCGACUCGAAGGCAGGAGAGGGAAGCGGAAUUCCCGGUGUAGUGGUGAAAUGCGUAGAUAUCAGGAGGAACACCGAUGGCGAAGGCAGGUCUCUGGGCCACUACUGACGCUGAGAAGCGAAAGCAUGGGGAGCGAACAGG
Molecule: ribosomal RNA, 253 nt
Filed under: uncultured bacterium
Lineage: Bacteria
Description: partial 16S ribosomal RNA
Rfam family: Bacterial small subunit ribosomal RNA
Source: RNAcentral